Molecule: ribosomal RNA, 253 nt
Filed under: uncultured bacterium
Lineage: Bacteria
Description: partial 16S ribosomal RNA
Rfam family: Bacterial small subunit ribosomal RNA
Source: RNAcentral
UACAGAGGAGCCAAGCGUUGUCCGGAUUGACUGGGCGUAAAGCGCACGCAGGCGGCACCGUGCGUGGGGUGUGAAAUCUGGCCGCUUAACGGCCAGGCGCCAUCCCAUACGGCGGAGCUGGAGUGAUGCAGAGGUCGAUGGAAUUGCCGGUGUAGUGGUGAAAUGCGUAGAUAUCGGGAGGAACACCAGUGGCGAAGGCGACUACCUGGCCUGUUCUUGACGCUGAGGCGCGAAAGCUAGGGGAGCAAACGGG